UGUCAGUUUGUCAAAUACCCUAA
Molecule: microRNA, 23 nt
Filed under: Ornithorhynchus anatinus (platypus)
Lineage: Eukaryota; Metazoa; Chordata; Mammalia; Monotremata; Ornithorhynchidae
Description: Oan-Mir-223_3p (mature (guide))
Source: RNAcentral